AUUGAACGCUGGCGGCAGGCUUAACACAUGCAAGUCGAGCGGAUGAAAGUAGCUUGCUACCGGAUUCAGCGGCGGACGGGUGAGUAAUGCUUAGGAAUCUGCCUAUUAGUGGGGGACAACGUUCCGAAAGGAGCGCUAAUACCGCAUACGUCCUACGGGAGAAAGCAGGGGACCUUCGGGCCUUGCGCUAAUAGAUGAGCCUAAGUCGGAUUAGCUAGUUGGUAGGGUAAAGGCCUACCAAGGCGACGAUCUGUAGCGGGUCUGAGAGGAUGAUCCGCCACACUGGGACUGAGACACGGCCCAGACUCCUACGGGAGGCAGCAGUGGGGAAUAUUGGACAAUGGGGGGAACCCUGAUCCAGCCAUGCCGCGUGUGUGAAGAAGGCCUUUUGGUUGUAAAGCACUUUAAGCGAGGAGGAGGCUACCUAGAUUAAUACUUUAGGAUAGUGGACGUUACUCGCAGAAUAAGCACCGGCUAACUCUGUGCCAGCAGCCGCGGUAAUACAGAGGGUGCGAGCGUUAAUCGGAUUUACUGGGCGUAAAGCGUGCGUAGGCGGCCAAUUAAGUCAAAUGUGAAAUCCCCGAGCUUAACUUGGGAAUUGCAUUCGAUACUGGUUGGCUAGAGUAUGGGAGAGGAUGGUAGAAUUCCAGGUGUAGCGGUGAAAUGCGUAGAGAUCUGGAGGAAUACCGAUGGCGAACGCAGCCAUCUGGCCUAAUACUGACGCUGAGUACGAAAGCAUGGGGAGCAA
Molecule: ribosomal RNA, 748 nt
Filed under: Acinetobacter radioresistens WC-A-157
Lineage: Bacteria; Pseudomonadati; Pseudomonadota; Gammaproteobacteria; Moraxellales; Moraxellaceae
Description: bacterial SSU rRNA
Rfam family: Bacterial small subunit ribosomal RNA
Source: RNAcentral